RNAcentral lists this ribosomal RNA (495 nucleotides) under uncultured bacterium. RNAcentral's name for it is "partial 16S ribosomal RNA". It matches the Rfam family "Bacterial small subunit ribosomal RNA", at positions 28 to 507 of the family's 1533-position model. The record is from RNAcentral.
GACGAACGCUGGCGGCGUGCCUAAUACAUGCAAGUCGAACGCUGAAGGAGGAGCUUGCUUCUCUGGAUGAGUUGCGAACGGGUGAGUAACGCGUAGGUAACCUGCCUGGUAGCGGGGGAUAACUAUUGGAAACGAUAGCUAAUACCGCAUAAUAGUAGAUGUCGCAUGACAUUUGCUUAAAAGGUGCAAUUGCAUCACUACCAGAUGGACCUGCGUUGUAUUAGCUAGUUGGUGAGGUAACGGCUCACCAAGGCAACGAUACAUAGCCGACCUGAGAGGGUGAUCGGCCACACUGGGACUGAGACACGGCCCAGACGCCUACGGGAGGCAGCAGUAGGGAAUCUUCGGCAAUGGACGGAAGUCUGACCGAGCAACGCCGCGUGAGUGAAGAAGGUUGUCGGAUCGUAAAGCUCUGUUGUAAGAGAAGAACGAGUGUGAGAGUGGAAAGUUCACACUGUGACGGUAUCUUACCAGAAAGGGACGGCUAACUACGUG